UUUGUUACUUCAAACCAAUCGGACUUCGGUCUGACAUCAAGUGAUAUUGAACAAUUUAGCUGAUCGCACGGUCUAAGAACCGGCGACAUAUCCUUCAAAUGUCUGCCUUAUCAACUUUCGAUGGUAGAUUAUGCGCCUACCAUGGUUGUAACGGGUAACGGAGAAUCAGGGUUUGAUUCCGGAGAGGGAGCCUGAGAAACGGCUACCACAUCCAAGGAAGGCAGCAGGCACGCAAAUUACCCACUCCCGGCACGGGGAGGUAGUGACGAAAAAUAACAAGCUGGUCUCAAUGAGUUCCAGCAUUGUAAUGGGAACAAUUUAAAUCUUUUAUCGAGGAUCUAUUGGAGGGCAAGUCUGGUGCCAGCAGCCGCGGUAAUUCCAGCUCCAAUAGCGUAUAUUAAAGUUGUCGCGGUUAAAAAGCUCGUAGUUGGAUCUAGGAUUAGGGCUACGGUCGUUCAGCUUGGACGUACUGUAUGCCCGACUCCUUUUCUCUAGUAUUCGAUUGUUGCUCUUAAAUGAGUGACUUUAGUUGCUGGAACUUUUACCUUGAAAAAAUUGAAGUGCUCAAAGCAGGUU
RNAcentral lists this ribosomal RNA (576 nucleotides) under uncultured eukaryote. RNAcentral describes it as "SSU rRNA". It matches the Rfam family "Eukaryotic small subunit ribosomal RNA", at positions 203 to 786 of the family's 1831-position model. The record is from RNAcentral.